UGGAAAGUCAGAUGUGAAAUCCCAGAGCUUAAACUCUGGNAACUGCAUCCGAUACUNCCAUGCUAGAGUAUUGGAGGGGUAACUGGAAUUCUCGGUGUAGCAGUGAAAUGCGUGGAUAUCGAGAGGAACACUCGUGGCGAAAGCGAGUUACUGGACAAUUACUGACGCUGAGGCUCGAAGGCCAGGGGAGCAAAANGGAUUAGAUACCCCUGUAGUCCUGGCAGUAAACGGUGCACGCUUGGUUUGAGGGGAAUCGACCCCCUUCGAGCCGGAGCUAACGCGUUAAGCGUGCCGCCUGGGAAGUACGGUCGCAAGACUAAAACUCAAAGAAAUUGACGGGGACCCGCACAAGCGGUGGAGUAUGUGGCUUAAUUCGAUGCAACGCGAAGAACCUUACCUAGGCUUGACAUGCAUUUCUAAAUACGUGAAAGCGUAUGACUCUUCGGAGGACUUGCACAGGUGCUGCAUGGCCGUCGUCAGCUCGUGUCGUGAGAUGUUGGGUUAAGUCCCGCAACGAGCGCAACCCCUGUGAUUAGUUACCAGCGCGUGAUGGCGGGGACUCUAAUCAGACUGCCCAGAUCAACUGGGAGGAAGGUGGGGACGACGUCAGGUCAGUAUGGCCCUUACGCCUAGGGCUGCACACGUACUACAAUGCCCAGCACAAUGAGAACCGAGACCGCGAGGUGGAGGAAAUCUACAAAACUGGGCUCAGUUCGGAUUGGAGGCUGCAACUCGCCUCCAUGAAGCUGGAAUCGCUAGUAAUGGCACAUCAGCUACGGUGCCGUGAAUACGUUCCCGGGUCUUGUACACACCGCCCGUCACAUCAUGGAAGUCGGUCGCACCCGAAGUACACGCGCCAACCGCAAGGAGGCAGUGUCCUAAGGUGUAGCUGGUAACUGGGAUGAAGUCGUAACAAGGUAACCAAGGGCGAA
RNAcentral lists this ribosomal RNA (932 nucleotides) under uncultured bacterium. RNAcentral's name for it is "bacterial SSU rRNA". It matches the Rfam family "Bacterial small subunit ribosomal RNA", at positions 581 to 1510 of the family's 1533-position model. The record is from RNAcentral.